GUGUCUGUAGCUCAGCAGUAUAAGAGCAGUCAUUCCGGUAUCAGAUGUUCAUGGGUUUGAAUCCCAUCAGAGACA
RNAcentral lists this transfer RNA (75 nucleotides) under Cronartium ribicola 11-2. RNAcentral's name for it is "tRNA-Und (NNN) (tRNA-Und-NNN-148-1)". It matches the Rfam family "tRNA". Rfam says of the family: Transfer RNA (tRNA) molecules are approximately 80 nucleotides in length. Lineage: Eukaryota; Fungi; Basidiomycota; Pucciniomycetes; Pucciniales; Coleosporiaceae. The record is from RNAcentral.